AUAGGGCGUUUAGUAUUUGGUCGUAGACCCGAAACCAGGUGAUCUACCCUUGGUCAGGUUGAAGUUCAGGUAACACUGAAUGGAGGACCGAACCGACUUACGUUGAAAAGUGAGCGGAUGAACUGAGGGUAGCGGAGAAAUUCCAAUCGAACCUGGAGAUAGCUGGUUCUCUCCGAAAUAGCUUUAGGGCUAGCCUCAAGUGAUGAUUAUUGGAGGUAGAGCA
Molecule: ribosomal RNA, 223 nt
Filed under: Staphylococcus aureus
Lineage: Bacteria; Bacillati; Bacillota; Bacilli; Caryophanales; Staphylococcaceae
Description: partial 23S ribosomal RNA
Rfam family: Bacterial large subunit ribosomal RNA
Source: RNAcentral